Puntigrus tetrazona (Sumatra barb) is the source of this 620-nucleotide long non-coding RNA. RefSeq lists it as uncharacterized. The transcript has 3 exons. NCBI's taxonomy places the organism in Eukaryota, Metazoa, Chordata, Actinopteri, Cypriniformes, Cyprinidae. The record is from RefSeq and is a predicted model, not a curated record.
UAGAUAAACUUUGCAAAUUAUAGUCAAAAGUUUAGAAGACAGUGUGUAAAUGUGAUUGACACAACGUGAGGUCGUAUUUAUUUUUAACGUGCAAAAAUUUCGGACUCCGUGUGCAAUGGCCUUUCCAUUUACAUUUAGUCAUUCGGCCAUGUAAUUAAUUUUAAUGCUUAGUAUACUUCACCUACCAAAACAGCUUGUCACAGGAACUGAAUAAUAGGCUACACAACAACUUCCGUUGUUCUAUAUCUUGAUUGGAUGGCUUAGACUUUUCACUCCGCAAUAUUUGCAUAAAGAGAACGUGGACUUUCCCUUAUUCACGUAGGACAGAACGUUUCCUGAACAAACCAAAAGCAGGUGUGCCGCUGUAUACAGAUUUACAGGAAGAGACAGAUAUCGCAAUCUGAAUAUAGGAAUACAGGAAAAGCAAUGGAAUCAUUUCCAGACUGCUGUCCACAUCUUAGUAUGCCUGUAGAAACCGAUGAGUCUAUGACCUUGUCUUCUCUCAAUCUGGCCUGGCCUGCUUGCCAGCAGUGUCAAUCACAUACCCUUAAAAACACAGGAAAAAGGGGUAGAUUCAUCCCAGAAAUGUGUGUUCCUGAUGCAAGUAGAUUGGAUUGUCU